UACGGAGGGUGCAAGCAUUAAUCGGAUUUAUUGGGCGUAAAGGGCGCGUAGGCUGGUCUUUAAGUCAGAUGUGAAAUCCCGAGGCUCAACCUCGGAACAGCAUUUGAAACUGAUGACCUAGAGGGUAGAAGGAGAGAAUGGAAUUCCACAAGUAGCGGUGAAAUGCGUAGAUAUGUGGAAGAACACCGGUGGCGAAGGCGAUUCUCUAUUUUAUUCCUGACGCUGAGGCGCGAAAGUAAGGGGAUCAAACAGG
Molecule: ribosomal RNA, 253 nt
Filed under: uncultured bacterium
Lineage: Bacteria
Description: partial 16S ribosomal RNA
Rfam family: Bacterial small subunit ribosomal RNA
Source: RNAcentral